Symphalangus syndactylus (siamang) is the source of this 459-nucleotide long non-coding RNA. RefSeq lists it as uncharacterized. The record is from RefSeq and is a predicted model, not a curated record. NCBI's taxonomy places the organism in Eukaryota, Metazoa, Chordata, Mammalia, Primates, Hylobatidae.
CCCUAUGGCCCGCCGGCUUUUAGCUAUGCGCCGGUCCCACAGCUGCAGUGCUCCCUCAGUCCCUGGAGUUCCCAGCCAAGCCACAGACCUGCCUCUGAGGAAAGGAAUCGAGCAGGGAGUAGGAGGGGACCUCUGGGGACUCGGGCCUGCUGCUGUGUUGUGAGCCACCUUAUGGAAAACCCAUGUGGCACAGAACCAAGGGUGGUGGCUGGCCAACAGCGAGCCAGGAGCUGAGGCCCACAGUCCAACAACUGGUGAGGAACCACACGCUGCCAGUAGCCAUGUGAGAGAACUUAGAAGCAAAUCCUUCCCCAGCUGAGCCUUCAGAUGACACCAGAGCCUUGGCUGACCCCUUAAUUUUACCCUUGUAAGAGACUUUGAGCCAGAAGACUUGGCUAAACCACACCUGGAUUCCUGACCCACAGAAACUUGAGAUAAUAAAUGUGUUGUUUUAAGUCA